CAGCCGCCGCGGUAAUACGUAGGUGGCAAGCGUUGUCCGGAAUUAUUGGGCGUAAAGGGCUCGCAGGCGGUUUCUUAAGUCUGAUGUGAAAGCCCCCGGCUCAACCGGGGAGGGUCAUUGGAAACUGGGAAACUUGAGUGCAGAAGAGGAGAGUGGAAUUCCACGUGUAGCGGUGAAAUGCGUAGAGAUGUGGAGGAACACCAGUGGCGAAGGCGACUCUCUGGACUGUAACUGACGCUGAGGAGCGAAAGCGUGGGGAGCGAACAGGAUUAGAUACCCCGGUAGUCCCUGUCUCUUAUAC
Molecule: ribosomal RNA, 301 nt
Filed under: uncultured bacterium
Lineage: Bacteria
Description: partial 16S ribosomal RNA
Rfam family: Bacterial small subunit ribosomal RNA
Source: RNAcentral